CGCGGGGUAGAGCAGUUGGUAGCUCGUCGGGCUCAUAACCCGGAGGUCGCAGGUUCGAGUCCUGUCUCCGCUACUA
RNAcentral lists this transfer RNA (76 nucleotides) under marine bacterium AO1-C. RNAcentral's name for it is "tRNA-Met". It matches the Rfam family "tRNA". From Rfam's summary of the family: Transfer RNA (tRNA) molecules are approximately 80 nucleotides in length. Their secondary structure includes four short double-helical elements and three loops (D, anti-codon, and T loops). Further hydrogen bonds mediate the characteristic L-shaped molecular structure. tRNAs have two regions of fundamental functional importance: the anti-codon, which is responsible for specific mRNA codon recognition, and the 3' end, to which the tRNAs corresponding amino acid is attached (by aminoacyl-tRNA synthetases). tRNAs cope with the degeneracy of the genetic code in two manners: having more than one tRNA (with a specific anti-codon) for a particular amino acid; and 'wobble' base-pairing, i.e. permitting non-standard base-pairing at the 3rd anti-codon position. The record is from RNAcentral. RNAcentral also lists the same sequence under 1 other name. Lineage: Bacteria; Pseudomonadati; Bacteroidota; Cytophagia; Cytophagales; Cytophagaceae.